GACGAACGCUGGCGGCGUGCUUAACACAUGCAAGUCGAACGGAAAGGCCCCUUUGGGGGUACUCGAGUGGCGCACGGGUGAGUAACACGUGAGUAACCUGCCCUUGACUUCGGGAUAACUUCAGGAAACUGGGGCUAAUACCGGAUAGGAAUCCUUGCUGCAUGGUGGGGGUUGGAAAGCUUCGGCGGUUUUGGAUGGACUCGCGGCUUAUCAGCUUGUUGGUGGGGUAGUGGCUUACCAAGGCUUUGACGGGUAGCCGGCCUGAGAGGGCGACCGGCCACAUUGGGACUGAGAUACGGCCCAGACUCCUACGGGAGGCAGCAGUGGGGAAUAUUGCACAAUGGGCGGAAGCCUGAUGCAGCAACGCUGCGUGCGGGAUGACGGCCUUCGGGUUGUAAACCGCUUUCAGCAGGGGCGAAGCUUGUGGUGACGGUACCUGCAGAAGAAGCACCGGCUAACUACGUG
RNAcentral lists this ribosomal RNA (465 nucleotides) under uncultured bacterium. Its description in RNAcentral is "partial 16S ribosomal RNA". It matches the Rfam family "Bacterial small subunit ribosomal RNA", at positions 28 to 507 of the family's 1533-position model. The record is from RNAcentral.